RNAcentral lists this long non-coding RNA (120 nucleotides) under Callithrix jacchus (white-tufted-ear marmoset). Its description in RNAcentral is "lncRNA (ENSCJAG00000072079.1)". Lineage: Eukaryota; Metazoa; Chordata; Mammalia; Primates; Cebidae. The record is from RNAcentral.
GCAGGACAGCGAGGUGGACACUCACAAGGAAAGCCCCAACCCCCCGCCCCCGACAGAGCAUCUGAGGAAAAAAAAAAAGAAGGGGUUUUCUUAUGAGUUAGGUUGCAGCAGAACUAAACA